GACGAACGCUGGCGGCGUGCUUAACACAUGCAAGUCGAACGGAAAGGCCUGCUUUCCCUUGUGGAUUGCGGGUACUCGAGUGGCGAACGGGUGAGUAACACGUGAGUGAUCUGCCCCCAACUUGGGUAUAAGCCUGGGAAACUGGGUCUAAUUCCCGAUAGGACUGCAGGGUGGUGCCUGUGGUGGAAAACGAUUUUCUAGUGGUUGGGGAUGAGCUCGCGGCCUAUCAGCUUGUUGGGGGGGUAAUGGACUACCAAGGCGGCGACGGGUAGCCGGCCUGGGAGGGUGGACGGCCACAUUGGGGCUGGGAUACGGCCCAGACUCCGACGGGAGGCAGCAGUGGGGAAUAUUGCACAAUGGGCGGAAGCCUGAUGCAGCGACGCCGCGUGGGGGAUGACGGCCUUCGGGUUGUAAACUCCUUUCGACCGCGAGGAAGCCACCUGGUUGGAAGGGUGGUGACGGUAGUGGUAGAAGAAGCACCGGCUAACUACGUG
Molecule: ribosomal RNA, 494 nt
Filed under: uncultured bacterium
Lineage: Bacteria
Description: partial 16S ribosomal RNA
Rfam family: Bacterial small subunit ribosomal RNA
Source: RNAcentral